RNAcentral lists this ribosomal RNA (492 nucleotides) under uncultured bacterium. Its description in RNAcentral is "partial 16S ribosomal RNA". It matches the Rfam family "Bacterial small subunit ribosomal RNA", at positions 29 to 507 of the family's 1533-position model. The record is from RNAcentral.
AGUGAACGCUGGCGGUAGGCCUAACACAUGCAAGUCGAACGGCAGCACAGUGAGAGCUUGCUCUUACGGGUGGCGAGUGGCGGACGGGUGAGGAAUACAUCGGAAUCUACUUUUUCGUGGGGGGUAACGUAGGGAAACUUACGCUAAUACCGCAUACGACCUACGGGUGAAAGCAGGGGAUCUUCGGACCUUGCGCGAUUGAAUGAGCCGAUGUCGGAUUAGCUAGUUGGCGGGGUAAAGGCCCACCAAGGCGACGAUCCGUAGCUGGUCUGAGAGGAUGAUCAGCCACACUGGAACUGAGACACGGUCCAGACUCCUACGGGAGGCAGCAGUGGGGAAUAUUGGACAAUGGGCGCAAGCCUGAUCCAGCCAUACCGCGUGGGUGAAGAAGGCCUUCGGGUUGUAAAGCCCUUUUGUUGGGAAAGAAAAGCAGCAGGUUAAUACCCCGCUGUUCUGACGGUACCCAAAGAAUAAGCACCGGCUAACUUCGUG